Molecule: ribosomal RNA, 462 nt
Filed under: uncultured bacterium
Lineage: Bacteria
Description: SSU rRNA
Rfam family: Bacterial small subunit ribosomal RNA
Source: RNAcentral
AGAAUCAACGCUGGCGGCGUGCCUAACACAUGCAAGUCGAACGAGAAAGUGGAGCAAUCCAUGAGUAAAGUGGCGCACGGGUGAGUAACACGUGACUAACCUACCCUUGAGUGGGGGAUAACCUAGGGAAACCUGGGCUAAUACCGCAUAAUACCUUCGGGUCAAAGGAGCAAUUCGCUUAAGGAGGGGGUCGCGGCCGAUUAGUUAGUUGGCGGGGUAAUGGCCCACCAAGACUGUGAUCGGUAUCCGGCCUGAGAGGGCGCACGGACACACUGGAACUGAAACACGGUCCAGACUCCUACGGGAGGCAGCAGUGGGGAAUUUUCCGCAAUGGGCGAAAGCCUGACGGAGCGACGCCGCGUGUGGGAAGAAGGCCUUCGGGUCGUAAAGCCCUGUUGGUAGGGAUGAGCAAGGACAGUACCUACCGAGGAAGCCCCGGCUAACUACGCGCCAGGCAGCCGC